Molecule: long non-coding RNA, 1155 nt
Organism: Chelonia mydas (Green sea turtle)
Lineage: Eukaryota; Metazoa; Chordata; Testudines; Cheloniidae
Exons: 3
Source: RefSeq, a predicted model, not a curated record
AGCAUCUAGGGAGCAGAUUGGGAGACCUAGAAGGGAAGUAAAGAAGUGAGGAAGGAAAUGGUGUAGGGAAAACUGCACUCUGGGUAGAGGAUUUGAUUUAGCUGUGCAGUACAGGGCCCUGGGCUGUAACCCAGAAUUGAGGUUGGGACUGGAUUCCCCUACCAGCCCCAAGGAAGUGGCGUACAAGGGUAGGUGAGCCUAGCGAGGGGGCUGCAGGCCGAAUGUGACUGGACUGAAGAAGAGCUGUGGAGAGGGUGGAAGCUUUUGAUCUCUGUUAAGAGAGUUUUGAACUUUCGUCUGGGUAGCUGACCCUGGAAGGAAUGGGCUAAAGACUGUGCCCUGGCUGGAGGGAUAUGAGUUCUCCAAAAGAAACCACCACAGCCCCAGAGUGAAUGUUGACAAGGGCUGCUACCCCCCCCCCCCCCCCCCCAAGGACACUGUGAUGCCAUGCCUGGCCAUGAGGAAGUGCAGAGUAGUCUUUGGAAGACAUUUCAUACAAAAUGAAAUCACAGAUUGCCUACUUGAAAUGGGAUAAGUAUUGCGGGACCUCAAAGCAAAUCCUACAGUGGGGAGACGCUGCAGUGCAUUGAACAUGGCCGAAUAAGCUGUUGCCAAGGUGAUGCUGUCAGGAGUUGUUCCAACACCCUGGACCAGUUGAAGUUUCUUCUCGAUUGGGCUGAUUGAGGAAGUAGAGUGGAAGGUAAAAUCAUGUAUUGCUGCAGCCAGGGUUUCAUCUGGGAUGGGCAGAGGGGCUGUUUCCUGCUUCUGUUGUGCAUAGCUGGAUGUAUAAAACAAAUCUGUUUCUUUUCCAAUUGUUUUCCCCUCUCUUUAACAUAGACAUGAUAACUUGUUGUAGGGAGUUCGGACAACUCACCAUAAUGGUGUCCCUUGGCAUGCACUAUUUUAUUUAUAAAAGUGGAUAUUAUUGUUCCUGACCUUCUGGGAAGGACUAAUGGACAGGCAGUGGAUACUGAAGAGGUGGAGCCACUAUUUCAAAGCCAGUCAAUAAAUUACCUAUCUGCUUUAGAAGUAGGUUUUAGUUUCCUGUUUGAGUGCUAGCUAACAGAUCUUUUAGGGCCAAACUUCGGCAUUUGCAGAAAGUCUCAUGCAAAUCCAGAAAGGACAUGUAACUGACCAAUUUGCCAUGCAAAUAAA